ACUCGCAGGCUCCAGACGCCGCCAUUUCGCCAAGCCGAGGUCUCUUGGUUGCGGCACUGCUUCUGGCUCGGUGCCUGUAUUUUCUCGGUGCCUACAGCGCCCAGGUCGCCGAUCUGAGGGCUUCGGAGUACCGGCCGGGCGCGGUGGCUCACGCCUGUAAUCCCAGCACUUUGGGAGGCCGAGGCGGGCGGAUCAGGAGGUCAGGAGAUCGAGACCAUCCUGGCUAACACGGGCUUUGACUCCUGAGUCUAAAAAGGUCACUAACUCCCGCUAAAUUGAGAGCAAUUGAAGCCUCAUCUUCAGAUCUAGGAGAAGAUGAAAAUCAGAAUAAGCUGCAGUCAUGAGACAUGGCGCCAGAAAUUAAGACUAUUCAAACCCUCUAGUCCCAGGGACUAUUGAAGAAGAAGUGGAUAAGGUCUAGAUCUGUCACCCAGGCUGGAGUACAGUGGCAUAGUCCUAGCUCACUGCAACCUCCACCUCCCAGGCUCAAGUGAUCCUACCACCUCAGCCUCCUAAGAAGCUGGGACUAUAGAUGUGCACCAACACGCAUGGCUAAUUUUUGUAUUUUUUGUAGACACCGUGUUUCGCCAUGUUGCCCAGGCUGGUCUCAAACUCCUGAGCUCAAGCAGUCUGCCUGCCUAGACCGCCCAAAGUGCUGAGUUUACAGGUGCGAGCCACCACAGCCAGCCUAUAAAGUAAACGUGAAUAUCUAAGGAACACUGAUGCAAGACCAGCAUGUGGGACCCCAUGUAAGAUUAACAAUGUUUUCAUGGAUCAUUAACCCAUUCUUAUUAAAAAAAUUAUGAAAGAUUAUGAAAAGGUUUACAAAAGUUGUAUCUUAUGGUCAAGAUGAUUAAAAUUUAUUAGAUUUGUCUAUAAUAUCUGAGAAAGAUUUGAUUGGCUUCAUGCUGUCUUUAUUAGCUCUUAUUGUUUGGGAAAGCAAGUCUCAAAGAGUGAAAGGUUUUGGCUUUUAGUUUUUGAAAACUUUGAGUUACUGCUUAACUAAAUGAAUGACUUAUUUUUUACAAUGACCUGUUGUGGGAAGUCAGGGACCCCAAACGGAGGGACCGGCUGAAGCCAUGAAAGAAGAACGUGGAUUAUGAAGAUUUUAUGGACAUUUAUUAGCUCCCCAAAUUAAUACUUUUGUAAUUUCUUAUGCCUGUCUUUACUGCAAUCUCUAAACAUAAAUUGUAAAGAUUUCAUGGACACUUAUCACUUCCCCAAUCAAUACCCUUGUGAUUUCCUAUGCCUGUCUUUACUUUAAUCUCUUAAUCUUGUCAGUUGAGGAGGAUGUAUAUCAUCUCAGGACCCUGUAAUAAUUGCGUUAAGUACACAAAUUGUACAGCAUGUGUGUUUGAGCAAUAUGAAAUGUGGGCACCCUGAAAAAAGAACAGGGUAACAGCAAUUGUUCAGGGAAUAAGAGAGAUAACCUUAAACUCUGACCGCCGGUGAGCCGGGCAGAACAGAGCCAUAUUUCUCUUCUUUCAAAAGCAAAUGGGAGAAAUAUCGCUGAAUUCCGUCCCUGAGAAAGAGAAUGCGCACCUAGGGGUAGGUCUCUGAACUGGCCGCCCCGGGGCGUACCUGUCUCUUAUGGUCGAGAUUGCAGAGGUGAAAUAAACUCCAGUUUCCCAUAGCGCUCCCAGGCUUAUUAGGAAGAGGAAAUUCCCGCCUAAUAAACUUUGGUCAGACCAGUUGAUCUCAAAACCCUGUCUCCUGAUAAGAUAAUAUCAGUGACAAUGGUGCCAAAACUUCAUUAGCAAUUUUAAUUUCGUUUCGGUCCUGUGGUCCUGUGAUCUCGCCCUGCCUCCACUUGCCUUGUGAUAUUCUAUUACCCUGUUAAGUACUUGAUGUCUGUCACCCACACCUAUUCGCACACUCCCUCCCCUUUUGAAAAUCCCUAAAAAAACCUGCUGGUUUCGGUGGCUUGUGGGGCAUCACAGAUCCUACCAAUGUGUGAUGUCUCCCCCGGACGCCCAGCUUUAAAAUUUCUCUCUUUUGUACUCUGUUCUUUUAUUUCUCAAGCCAGUCGACGCUUAGGAAAAUAGAAAAGAACCUACGUGAUUAUCGGCGCAGGUCCCCCGAUAACCUGUGAUCCUGUUUUGUGAUAUCAAGUGUUUUAAGUCUUUGAUGUUUGACAAACUUUCCAAAAUCCAAUUCUAAAUUCAGUCAUUUUCAUCUCAUUAGUUUUUUUGACAUUGAGUCCCCUGAAAUCCAAAGAGACAUAUUUGGCUUAGUUGGUAUAAUCACACAAGAAGUAUUAUCAAAUAUAAAAUGAUAUGUAACCAUCUUUGCAUUGUAUUUAUGUAAAUGUGUUAUUAGUGUUUUAAAAUUGUAUGAGAUUCUUCUGAUUGUGAUAUGUCUUAGUAUAUGUUUUCAGAACUAAUUAUGAUUAUUAUAUUCAAAUGUUAUAUAUCAUAGAUAUAACCACAUUUCUUUGUCAGUUGUGUCUUAAACCAUGGCUAUUGUAAGACUUUUGUCAUCUACAAUUAUUGUUUUACUUAGAUCCUUUCGUAGAGUGGUUUAUAAUCAGUUAUAGAGCUCUGAGACUACCCUUUUUGUUGUUGUUGUUGUUGAUGUUUGCUUUUUGAGACAGGGUCUCAAUCUGUCACCUAUACUGCAGUGUGGUGGCAUAAUCACUGCUCACUUCAGCCUUAAUCUCCUAGACUCAAGCAAUCCUCCCACCUAAGCCUACCAAGUAGCUGAGGCUACAGGCACGCACCAUACACUCAGAGAAUUUUAAAAAUUUUGUAGAGAUAGAGUCUCCCUCUGCUGCCCAGGCUGAUCUCAAACUCUUGGGCUCAAGCAAUCCUCCCACCUCAGCCUCCCAAAGUGCUGGGAUUACAGGCAUAAGCCACCACACCCAAGAUUUUAAUACAUUUAUCAUGUCUUCAUUAACAAAUACCAAGUGUCUAUAUUGUACUACAUAGUGAACAAGGUCCCAGAGAUAAGUAAUCAACAAGCAGACAUGGACUUGGCCAUAAAGUGUUUGACACCUUCAUGGAUUGUAAAAAAAAAAAAAAAGCAUGACAACAAAUAAAUAAAUAAAACCGUGUUUAUAUGAUAAAUGUUAUCAAGAAACUUAACGCAACUUAGUUGAAAAGGUAACUAGGAGGAUAUUAUAUUAGCUACUAUAGUAAGGAUAGAAUUGUCACAGAUACUUCCACUUCGAUAUGAGUAAUGCAAUGAACAACACCAAAAAACAAACAAACCAACCUAGGCUGGGUGCAGUGGCUCGCACUUGUACUCCUAGCACUUUGGGAGGCCAAGGCAGGCGGAUCACUUGAGGCAAGGAGUUCAAGACCAUCCUGGCGAACAUGGUGAAAUGCCAUCUCUACUAAAAAUAUAAGAAAAUUUGCUGGGCGUGGUGGCCCACACCUGUAAUCUCAAGUUACUCAGUAGGCUGAGGCGAGAGAAUCAUUUGAACCCGGGAGGCAGAGCUUGCAGUGAGCUGAGAACACACCACUGUACUCCAGCCUGGGCAACAGAGCAAGACCCUGUCUCAAAAAAAAAAAAAAAAAGGUGGAGUUACCAUCAUGAGAGAAUAUAAAGUACAAAGAUUCUAAGACUAGAAAACUUUAUUAUGGGCCGGGCAUAGUGGCUCAUGCCUGUAAUCCCAGCACUAUGGGAGGCUGAGGCAGGAGGAUCACUUGAGGCCAAAAACUCAAAACUAGCCCAGGCAACAUAGUAAAAUACCAUCUCUAGUAAAAAAAAAAAAAAAAAAAAAAUUAGCUGGAUGUGUUGGUGUCUGCUUGUAGUCCCAGCCACACAGGAGGCUGAGGCAACAUAAUUGUUUGAGCCCAGGAGUUCAAGGCUGAAGUGAGCUGUGAUGAUACCACUGCAUUCUAGCCUGAGCUACAGAGUGAAACCUUGCCUCCAAAAUAAAAAUAAACGUUUGUUACAGCCAUGGACAAAGAGAAAGCAAUUAAUGGCUUUCAGUGAACUAAAUGGGAGGUAUCUAGACUAAAAAAAUCUUGUAGUCUUCUGCCCAAGAUGGCCUGCUGGCCUCUAGGCAAAAAUGAUACAUGAUUAGAUAAAGGUGGAAGUUUUGAUUUAGUUUUGAUUGAAUUGUUAAACUACUGAUGAUACAGUGCCCACGUAUAUGAUAUUGACUCCAUAAAUUAUCAGGUUGGCCAAAGAUGUAGCAAAGGCAUUUGUAAGAAAGCUGUAACUGAUAACGCUUGAUGGUAUAUUUCUACAUUUUCUUCCUAAGUUUAUCAGAUUAGUUGACCCCUAUAUCAGCUGAGUUCUUUAUUCUCUAAGUUAUGACACGCUAAUUCUUGGAGGAUGUAACAUAAUAUAAAUAACAUGUAAAAGCAAAAUACUAUACGCAGUCAUUUAACCCAUUUCCCAUUUGUCCUGAGAAUACUUGCAAGUGGGGCUUGCAGCUGCAGCAUUUACCCUCAGAUCACUUGCAGAUUUCUUUUUUUUCAGAUAAUAUUAUAAUUGCAGUAUGUGUAAAUCAACAUUCCCUGAGAAAGUAUCACCUGCCUUAACAGUUUUUGUCUGGGGAAGUUGAAAAGAAAUAGUACAUUCCUUUGCACAUGUUGGAGGGAGAAGUAUGUCUGCAUAAGAGUCUGGACAGCAGGUCUCUGCCUGUGUGACAUGGGUCUCCUUUGGGAAUGGUCACUACUCUGUGUGUUAUACCCAUGCAGAGCACUGCCAACUCUCUACAAUGCAAGGUUCCAUCCACUGUUCACAUCUGGAGAGACACAUCCAGGCUACAUACUCAAAGAAAUGCUAAAGAGCCACCGCGCCCAGCCGGCAGGGGAACCAUUUGAAUUCAGGAGGCAGAGAUUGCGGUGAGCCGAGAUCUUGCCAUUGCACUCCAGACUGGGCAGCAAGAGCAAAACUCCGUGUCAAAAGAAACAAACAAACAAACAAAACAAAACAAAACAAAACAGGUAUUUUUAUUUUAAAAAUGGGCGACUACCCUGGCCUGCUCCUCAGUAACAUUAUGACCCAUCAGGCAUCUGACAAGCAUUGCUCUGGGGUAGAAAAGGAUCCAAGUCUGCUCCAGUACUAGUAAUGCAUUUGGGGGCAAUAAUGAAUUUUCUAACCAGGGUCCCCCAAAACAGAUUUCCCUGCACCAGAUAGUAUUUUUUCUUUUCAAUCCCUAAAGCAAACUAUUUAACUAGAUAACUUCAUCUCAGAUGAUAGGACUUUAUGUAAAUCUCAUUAAUUCCAUCUCUUGAUGUAAUUUGCUCCUAAGAUUAAGGUUUCCACCCACCUCCCUGAAAUCUGAUUUGGACCCCCAGGAGGCCAGAAGAGUAUAAAAACGCAAAAGAUGUUGACUUCUGAGUCCCACAUACCCGGCGUCAGCUGGUGAAUGAAAGACACGAAGGAGCUGCUGUGGAGCUGCUGUCUCCCCUCGGAGUUUGGCAGGCCCGGGAUUCCGCAAAGGAGUUGGCGGGGCCAGAUGCCUCCAGCCCUGAGCUCAGUACAUUCGGUGUCCUGGAUGCUCCCUUCCUUUCCUUAUCACUGCGAGCUCUCCUGGGACGGCCUAGAUUUCCACUGGGACCUACUUUCGGCUCCCUGCGUGCUUCAUUGCUGAAACUGCCGGCGAAAAGAUCUCUUUCUCAAGCCUCAGAGCACCUUGAGGCGGGGCGCAGAGUCGCCCGCUCUGGAUCCCGCGCCAGAGACCCAGGAGGAUCCGCAGGAGCCCUCGGGAGAGCAGGAGGCUGCAUAGGGUCUCAACGUACUCCCGUCCCCGCAGCCUCCCUCGCAACUCGCCCCUCGCUCGGUAGGCAGACAACUCCAGCCGGACAGGUCCGUCCGAGGAGACCUUUCAGAGUGUCAGCCUACUGCUGACCUCGGAGCCACCAACCAAAGUUCCAAGACUGCUGGCUGCAGAUUGCAUGCUCUUGGGGCAGACGCCCUAAGAAUGUGUCCACCGAGUCCAAUGUGUCUUUGGAGUCCUGAGCCCUGAGAUUUCCGCUAAGACCUUCCAUUGGACGAUCUCUUGUAACAGAUGUUGUUACAGUAACACGUGAGUUCGCUCAAAUGCGAUGGAAGUUUUGCCUUUCGAUCAUUUUGUGCCUUUGUCUUUCCCCUUCUCAAUAAAAUCGUACACAAAUGUGAAAUUCUUGUUGCCUGUGUUCCUGUUGAUGUUGGGUAAGGAUGAGCCUCAGGGGCGGGGUGGCUGGUUGCUGGUGCCAGGACUAUCACGGGGACCCUGAAUCCCCUAGGUUUGCUGGUUGCAGGGCAAACAAAAAGUACAAGAAGUGUGUGUCUUAUGCAGAGAUUGGAGGGGAGAAUAGGCCAGGGGUCGUGCAUGGCUGGUGACUCACAGGCUGAGCCUACAGGAAAUCCGGUGAACAGGCAGCAGACCUGAGAACUUACUGCAGGAAAUUCUCCUGUUCUGAGGCCCUGGAACUUUUUCCCUCUGAAGGUUUGCACCUUUCUAUCUUGAGGCCUUGUUAAACUCAUAAUUUCUGGAAGUUUUCUUCUAGACUCUUUAAGAUUUUCUCCAUAGGCUCAUGUUCUGCAUGUAUGAAUAGUUUCAUUUUUUCACUUCCAAUGUAUAUGCUUUCUUACUCCUUUUCUCACCUUAUUGCACUGGCGAACAAUUCCAGUAC
This 6575-nucleotide long non-coding RNA is filed under the name Homo sapiens (human). RNAcentral describes it as "HSALNT0326312". The record is from RNAcentral. Lineage: Eukaryota; Metazoa; Chordata; Mammalia; Primates; Hominidae.